AGUGGAAAUGGAAAACACUUGGUCAAGCUACUAAGGGCGUACGGUGAAUGCCUUGGCGCUAACAGUCGAUGAAGGACGUGGUAAGCUGCGAUAAGCCUCGGGGAGCCGCAAACAGGCUUUGAUCCGGGGAUUUCCGAAUGGGGAAACCCGCUCCGGGUAAUCUGGAGCAUCCGGCUUAAUUCAUAGGGUCGGAAGGCAACGCGGGGAAGUGAACCAUCUCAGUACCCGCAGGAACAGAAAACAAGACAGUGAUUCCGCUAGUAGCGGCGAGCGAACGCGGAAGAGCCCAAACCAGGGGGCAUGCUCCCUGGGGUUGUAGGACCUAUCAGGCCGUGAGGCCGCCGAGUCAGAAACCGGAUUGAUAGUCGAACCCUCUGGAAAGUGGGACCAUAGCAGGUGACAGUCCUGUAGGCGAAAUCAAUCCGGCUCGGUGGGUAGGCACCUGAGUACCGCGGGACACGUGAAAUCCCGUGGGAAUCUACGAGGACCAUCUCGUAAGGCUAAAUACUCGUUAGCGACCGAUAGUGAACCAGUACCGUGAGGGAAAGGUGAAAAGCACCCCUGUGAGGGGAGUGAAAUAGUACCUGAAACCGUAUGCCUACAAGCAGUCGGAGGGCUAUACAGGAGCAAUCCUGCACGCCUGACGACGUGCCUUUUGCAUAAUGAGCCGGCUAGUUAUUCUCAGUGGCGAGGUUAAGCGGAAGCGAGCCGUAGCGAAAGCGAGUCCGAAAUGGGCGAUUCAGUCGCUGGGAAUAGACGCGAAGCGAGAUGAUCUACCCUUGGCCAGGAUGAAGCGCGGGUAACACCGCGUGGAGGUCCGAACCGGUGUUGGUUGAAAACAGCUCGGAUGAGCUGAGGGUAGGGGUGAAAGGCUAAUCAAAUUUCGUGAUUGCCCGUUCUCCUCGAAAUGCCUUUAGGGGCAGCCUCGGAAGGUCGGCGAUGGCGGUAGAGCACUGAAUGGACUAGGGGCCUUACCAGGUUACUGAAUCCAAUCAAACUCCGAAUGCCAUCGACACGUAUUCCGGGAGUGAGACUGUGGGGGCUAAGCUUCAUAGUCAAAAGGGAAACAGCCCAGACAUCCGACUAAGGUCCCAAACUCUAUGCUAAGUGGUAAAGGAUCUGGAGACACACAGACAACCAGGAGGUUGGCUUAGAAGCAGCCAUCCUUUAAAGAAAGCGUAAUAGCUCACUGGUCAAGUGGCUCCGGGCCGACAAUGUAACGGGGCUCAAGCAUAGGACCGAAUCGAUGAAUAGCGGAUCUUGCGAGGUCCGCGAUUGGUAGAGGAGCGUUCUCUUCGCCGCGAAGUCAGACCGUGAGGACUGGUGGAGCGGAGAGAAGUGACCCUGCCGGCAUAAGUAGCGAUAAGGGAAGUGAGAAUCUUCCCCGCCGUAAGCCUAAGGAUUCCUGAGGUAGGUUCGUCCGCUCAGGGUUAGUCGGGAGCUAACGCGAGGCCGAAAGGCGUAGCGGAUGCACAUCCGGUUAAUAUUCCGGAACUACCAGACGAUCGUUAUCACGAUGGGGGGACGCAGGAGGCUAACCAGGCCCGGGUUCGGAUGUCCGGGUUGAGGCCUGUAGGGGGAACCGGUAGGCAAAUCCGCUGGUUCACAUACCCUGAGGGGUCGAAGCGACGCCGCAAGGCGAUAAAGCUGGUGACGCCACGCUGCCGAGAAAAGCCUCUAAGGAGAUCGUUUGGUACCCGUACCGCAAACCGACACAGGUAGGCGAGGAGAAAAUCCUCAGGCGCAAGUGAGAAUCCACGUUUAGGAACUAGGCAAAAUUACCCCGUAACUUCGGGAGAAGGGGUGCCCCGUUAUUGUCACUGGCCUCGCGCCAGGAAGCAUGAAGGGGUUGCAAUAAAGAGGGUCAAGCGACUGUUUACUAAAAACACAGGGCUCUGCUAAGUCGAAAACGACGUAUAGGGUCUGACGCCUGCCCGGUGCCGGAAGGUUAAAAGGAGAGGUCAGCCGCAAGGUGAAGCCUUGAAUUGAAGCCCCGGUAAACGGCGGCCGUAACUAUAACGGUCCUAAGGUAGCGAAAUUCCUUGUC
This 2047-nucleotide ribosomal RNA is filed under the name uncultured Acidobacteriota bacterium. Its description in RNAcentral is "bacterial LSU rRNA". It matches the Rfam family "Bacterial large subunit ribosomal RNA", at positions 1 to 1973 of the family's 2925-position model. The record is from RNAcentral. Lineage: Bacteria; Pseudomonadati; Acidobacteriota.